This 994-nucleotide ribosomal RNA is filed under the name uncultured bacterium. Its description in RNAcentral is "bacterial SSU rRNA". It matches the Rfam family "Bacterial small subunit ribosomal RNA", at positions 355 to 1375 of the family's 1533-position model. The record is from RNAcentral.
UGGGGAAUAUUGCACAAUGGGGGAAACCCUGAUGCAGCGACGCCGCGUGAGCGAAGAAGUAUUUCGGUAUGUAAAGCUCUAUCAGCAGGGAAGAAGAAAUGACGGUACCUGACUAAGAAGCACCGGCUAAAUACGUGCCAGCAGCCGCGGUAAUACGUAUGGUGCAAGCGUUAUCCGGAUUUACUGGGUGUAAAGGGAGCGCAGGCGGUACGGCAAGUCUGAUGUGAAAGCCCGAAGCUUAACUUCGGCGAGCCGUGGAAACCGAGCAGCUAGAGUGCAGUAGAGGAUCGUGGAAUUCCAUGUGUAGCGGUGAAAUGCGUAGAUAUAUGGAGGAACACCAGUGGCGAAGGCGACGAUCUGGGCUGCAACUGACGCUCAGUCCCGAAAGCGUGGGGAGCAAACAGGAUUAGAUACCCUAGUAGUCCACGCCGUAAACGAUGAGUACUAAGUGUUGGGAGUCAAAUCUCAGUGCUGCAGUUAACGCAAUAAGUACUCCGCCUGAGUAGUACGUUCGCAAGAAUGAAACUCAAAGGAAUUGACGGGGGCCCGCACAAGCGGUGGAGCAUGUGGUUUAAUUCGAAGCAACGCGAAGAACCUUACCAGGUCUUGACAUCGAUCUAAAGGAUCCAGAGAUGGAUAGAUAGUUAUAGAGAAGACAGGUGGUGCAUGGUUGUCGUCAGCUCGUGUCGUGAGAUGUUGGGUUAAGUCCCGCAACGAGCGCAACCCUUGUCGUUAGUUACCAGCAGUAAGAUGGGGACUCUAGCGAGACUGCCUCUGUAAGGAGGAGGAAGGCGGGGAUGACGUCAAAUCAUCAUGCCCCUUAUGACCUGGGCUACACACGUGCUACAAUGGACGGAUCAAAGGGAAGCGAAGCCGCGAGGUGGAGCGAAACUCAAAAACCCGUUCUCAGUUCGGACUGCAGUCUGCAACUCGACUGCACGAAGUUGGAAUCGCUAGUAAUCGCGAAUCAGCAUGUCGCGGUGAAUACGUUCUC